GUGGGGAAUAUUGCGCAAUAGGGGAAACCCUGACGCAGCGACGCCGCGUGGGUGAUGAAGGCCUUCGGGUCGUAAAGCCCUGUGGGAGAGGGAAGAAGCACUAUUGGGAACAAUACCUCGAUAGUUUGACGGUACUUCUCCAGAAAGCACCGGCUAACUCCGUGCCAGCAGCCGCGGUAAAACGGAGGGUGCUAACGUUGCUCGGAAUUACUGGGCGUAAAGCGCAUGUAGGCGGGCCGGAAAGCGGGUUGUGAAAUCCCUUGGCUCAACCAAGGAAGUGCAAUUCGAACUAUCGGUCUUGAGUGCAGGAGAGGGAGGUAGAAUUCUCGGUGUAGAGGUGAAAUUCGUAGAUAUCGAGAGGAAUACCGGUGGCGAAGGCGGCCUCCUGGACUGACACUGACGCUGAGAUGCGAAAGCGUGGGGAGCAAACAGGAUUAGAAACCCGGGUAGUCC
Molecule: ribosomal RNA, 453 nt
Filed under: uncultured bacterium
Lineage: Bacteria
Description: bacterial SSU rRNA
Rfam family: Bacterial small subunit ribosomal RNA
Source: RNAcentral